GAAGGUAUAGCUCAAGUGGUAGAGCACAUGCUCAGCAUGCACGAGGUCCUGGGUUCAAUCCCUAGUACCUCCU
RNAcentral lists this transfer RNA (73 nucleotides) under Camelus dromedarius (Arabian camel). It matches the Rfam family "tRNA". Rfam says of the family: Transfer RNA (tRNA) molecules are approximately 80 nucleotides in length. Their secondary structure includes four short double-helical elements and three loops (D, anti-codon, and T loops). Lineage: Eukaryota; Metazoa; Chordata; Mammalia; Artiodactyla; Camelidae. RNAcentral also lists the same sequence under 1 other name. The record is from Rfam by way of RNAcentral.